Molecule: ribosomal RNA, 269 nt
Filed under: uncultured bacterium
Lineage: Bacteria
Description: partial 16S ribosomal RNA
Rfam family: Bacterial small subunit ribosomal RNA
Source: RNAcentral
UGGCCUACGGGGGGCAGCAGUGGGGGAUAUUGCACAAUGGGGGGAACCCUGAUGCAGCGACGCCGCGUGGGUGAAGGAGCGUUUCGGCGCGUAAAGCCCUAUCGGCAGGGAAGAAGAUGACGGUACCUGACCAAGAAGCCCCGGCUAACUACGAGCCAGCAGCCGCGGAAAUACGUAGGGGGCAAGCGUUAUCCGGAUUUACUGGGUGUAAAGGGGGCGCAGACGGCCAUGCAAGCCCGGAGGGAAAGCUCGGCGCCCAACCCCGGGAC